UGAGGAAUAUUGCACAAUGGGCGCAAGCCUGAUGCAGCAACGCCGCGUGCGGGACGAAGGCCUUCGGGUCGUAAACCGCUUUUCUGGGGAAAGAGCAAGGACGGUACCUCAGGAAUAAGUCUCGGCUAACUACGUGCCAGCAGCCGCGGUAGAACGUAGGAGGCGAGCGUUAUCCGGAUUUACUGGGCGUAAAGCGCACGCAGGCGGCUCUGUGAGUCGGACGUGAAAGCUCCCGGCUUAACCGGGAGAGGCCGUUCGAUACUGCGGGGCUUGAGGUAGGGAGAGGAAGGCGGAAGUCCCGGUGUAGUGGUGGAAUGCGUAGAUAUCGGGAGGAACACCUGUGGCGAAAGCGGCAUUCUGGCCCUCACCUGACGCUGAGGUGCGAAAGCGUGGG
RNAcentral lists this ribosomal RNA (394 nucleotides) under uncultured bacterium. Its description in RNAcentral is "bacterial SSU rRNA". It matches the Rfam family "Bacterial small subunit ribosomal RNA", at positions 355 to 765 of the family's 1533-position model. The record is from RNAcentral.